UUUAGGGCAUGGGUGUGAUUGUUCUGUUUUCCAAUUUUUUUUAUUUUUUAUUUUUUAUUUUUUAUUUUUUUUAUCUUGGGUUGUUAGAACUUGAGCGUGUGUGUUGUGGUGGCAGUGGGAAAAAUUAAAGGUGAGGUUGGAUAUUCCGACGAUGUACAAGAAGAUUUCUCGGAGAGAUGAAGGCAAUAUCGCAAGCCACCGUCAGUGCCUUGCCACCUCUACAGCAGAGCGAAACGCGCCACCACCCAGAGCCUUUUCUUCACGCCACAAGCAGCGUCAUCCAAACCUCCACCACGAGUUCUCCCCUUAUCCAGAAAAGCAAUCAGCAACGAACAAUUGCACCUCUGCCACGACACAGAAGCGAUCCAGUGUCCCCAUAAACGCAAUCAGCAACGAACAAUCGCAAAUCAUAUUUUCUCCUUAGUGGUUCUUAAUCUGCAAACCCAAAAAAUCAACACAGUUCAUCCCAAAAUCAGAAAUAGAAACCCUAGAAUCGCGUGACCCCAAUUCGCGCCUUCACCUUCCCUAAAUCGUUAACUCCUAUGCCUUCUACGCCUUCCACCUGCAUCAGAAAACAGAAACCACGAAGAAUCCUAAACACAAAACCCCAUUCGUAAAAAUCUCAAAUUGCAGAAACCCAGAACAGUGUGCCUUCUCCUUGCACCUCUUCGGACCAGAACAGUGUGCCUUAUUCCCAU
This 698-nucleotide long non-coding RNA is filed under the name Vigna radiata. RNAcentral describes it as "long non-coding RNA (VRAD_LNC018402)". The record is from RNAcentral. Lineage: Eukaryota; Viridiplantae; Streptophyta; Magnoliopsida; Fabales; Fabaceae.